This 549-nucleotide ribosomal RNA is filed under the name uncultured Glomeromycotina. RNAcentral describes it as "SSU rRNA". It matches the Rfam family "Eukaryotic small subunit ribosomal RNA", at positions 548 to 1098 of the family's 1831-position model. The record is from RNAcentral. Lineage: Eukaryota; Fungi; Glomeromycota.
UUGGAGGGCAAGUCUGGUGCCAGCAGCCGCGGUAAUUCCAGCUCCAAUAGCGUAUAUUAAAGUUGUUGCAGUUAAAAAGCUCGUAGUUGAAUUUCGGGGUUAGUAGGUUGGUCAUGCCUCUGGUAUGUACUGGUCUCACUGAUUCCUCCUUCCUGAUGAGCCGUAAUGCCAUUAAUUUGGUGUUGCGGGGAAUUUGGACUGUUACUUUGGAAAAAUUAGAGUGUUUAAAGCAAGCUAACGCCUGAAUACAUUAGCAUGGAAUAAUGAAAUAGGACGUUCGAUCCUAUUUUGUUGGUUUCUAGGAUUGACGUAAUGAUUAAUAGGGAUAGUUGGGGGCAUUAGUAUUCAAUUGUCAGAGGUGAAAUUCUUGGAUUUAUUGAAGACUAACUACUGCGAAAGCAUUUGCCAAGGAUGUUUUCAUUAAUCAAGAACGAAAGUUAGGGGAUCGAAGACGAUCAGAUACCGUCGUAGUCUUAACCAUAAACCAUGCCGACUAGGGAUCGGAUGAUGUUAAUUUUUUAAUGACUCAUUCGGCGCCUUACGGGAAAC